This 83-nucleotide transfer RNA is filed under the name Cinara cedri. It matches the Rfam family "tRNA". From Rfam's summary of the family: Transfer RNA (tRNA) molecules are approximately 80 nucleotides in length. Their secondary structure includes four short double-helical elements and three loops (D, anti-codon, and T loops). Lineage: Eukaryota; Metazoa; Arthropoda; Insecta; Hemiptera; Aphididae. The record is from Rfam by way of RNAcentral.
GCCAGGUUGGCCGAGUGGUCUAAGGCGCCAGAUUUAAGCUCUGGUCCCGAAUGGGAACGUGGGUUCGAACCCCACACCUGGCA